This 253-nucleotide unclassified non-coding RNA is filed under the name uncultured Alphaproteobacteria bacterium. RNAcentral's name for it is "contains 16S-23S intergenic spacer region". It matches the Rfam family "Bacterial small subunit ribosomal RNA", at positions 524 to 776 of the family's 1533-position model. The record is from RNAcentral. Lineage: Bacteria; Pseudomonadati; Pseudomonadota; Alphaproteobacteria.
UACGGAGGGGGCUAGCGUUGUUCGGAAUUACUGGGCGUAAAGCGCACUUAGGCGGCGCGUCAAGUUAGAGGCGAAAGGCCUGGGCUCAACCUGGGAACUGCCUUUGAUACUGGCGUGCUGGAGUACGGGAGAGGGUGACGGAAUUCCCAGUGUAGAGGUGAAAUUCGUGGAUAUUGGGAAGAACACCGGUGGCGAAGGCGGUCACCUGGCCCGGAACUGACGCUGAGGUGCGAAAGCGUGGGGAGCAAACAGG